AGUGAACGCUGGCGGUAGGCCUAGCACAUGCAAGUCGAACGGCAGCACAGUAAGAGUUUGCUCUUACGGGUGGCGAGUGGCGGACGGGUGAGGAAUACAUCGGAAUCUACUUUUUCGUGGGGGAUAACGUAGGGAAACUUACGCUAAUACCGCAUACGAUCUACGGGUGAAAGCAGGGGAUCUUCGGACCUUGCGCGAUUGAAUGAGCCGAUGUCGGAUUAGCUAGUUGGCUGGGUAAAGGCCCACCAAGGCGACGAUCCGUAGCUGGUCUGAGAGGAUGAUCAGCCACACUGGAACUGAGACACGGUCCAGACUCCUACGGGAGGCAGCAGUGGGGAAUAUUGGACAAUGGGCGAAAGCCUGAUCCAGCCAUACCGCGUGGGUGAAGAAGGCCUUCGGGUUGUAAAGCCCUUUUGUUGGGAAAGAAAAGCAGCAGGUUAAUACCCCGCUGUUCUGACGGUACCCAAACAAUAAGCACCGGCUAACUUCGUG
RNAcentral lists this ribosomal RNA (492 nucleotides) under uncultured bacterium. Its description in RNAcentral is "partial 16S ribosomal RNA". It matches the Rfam family "Bacterial small subunit ribosomal RNA", at positions 29 to 507 of the family's 1533-position model. The record is from RNAcentral.